Molecule: long non-coding RNA, 367 nt
Filed under: Ananas comosus (pineapple)
Lineage: Eukaryota; Viridiplantae; Streptophyta; Magnoliopsida; Poales; Bromeliaceae
Description: long non-coding RNA (ACOM_LNC012867)
Source: RNAcentral
GUUCAUUAGUCUUUUGGUUAAAUACAAGUAUAUAAUUAAAAACAUCAUUCUCUACCAGCUCCGACUAUUAAAGUCCAACUGCUGUUUCAUAUUCUUUAACAUGAUAUCAGAACAAAAGAUUCUGAAUUCGAGUGACACUGGACUCGUAACAUAAUUAAUUUAUCUUUUCUCUAAUUCAAGUUCAUGUCACGAUCCAGCAAAAAAGUCUCGAGUCCGACAACGUCAUAGGCCUAGAAGACGUGAGACAGAGUGUUAAAUAUAAAAGCAUCAUUCUCUACCUGCUUGAUUUUUUAGAGAAAAUAAUUAUUUCAUAUUAUUUAACACUCUUUAUCUGAUGGAGGAUGUUCUAAUCACAAAAAUUUUCUGU